This 1347-nucleotide ribosomal RNA is filed under the name uncultured bacterium. Its description in RNAcentral is "bacterial SSU rRNA". It matches the Rfam family "Bacterial small subunit ribosomal RNA", at positions 28 to 1381 of the family's 1533-position model. The record is from RNAcentral.
GAUGAACGCUGGCGGCGUGCUUAACACAUGCAAGCCGAGCGAAGCACUUAUGAUGAUCCUUCGGGUGAUUCAUUUGUGACUGAGCGGCGGACGGGUGAGUAACGCGUGAGUAACCUGCCUCAUACAGGGGAAUAACAGUUAGAAAUGACUGCUAAUGCCGCAUAAGCGCACAGGGCCACAUGGCCCGGUGUGAAAAACUCCGGUGGUAUGAGAUGGACUCGCGUCUGAUUAGCUAGUUGGCAGGGUAACGGCCUACCAAGGCGACGAUCAGUAGCCGGCCUGAGAGGGUGAACGGCCACAUUGGGACUGAGACACGGCCCAAACUCCUACGGGAGGCAGCAGUGGGGAAUAUUGCACAAUGGGGGAAACCCUGAUGCAGCGACGCCGCGUGAGUGAAGAAGUAUUUCGGUAUGUAAAGCUCUAUCAGCAGGGAAGAAAAUGACGGUACCUGACUAAGAAGCCCCGGCUAACUACGUGCCAGCAGCCGCGGUAAUACGUAGGGGGCAAGCGUUAUCCGGAUUUACUGGGUGUAAAGGGAGCGUAGACGGCUUUGCAAGUCUGACGUGAAACUCCGGGGCUCAACUCCGGAACUGCGUUGGAAACUGUAAGGCUUGAGUGCCGGAGAGGUAAGCGGAAUUCCUAGUGUAGCGGUGAAAUGCGUAGAUAUUAGGAGGAACACCAGUGGCGAAGGCGGCUUACUGGACGGCAACUGACGUUGAGGCUCGAAAGCGUGGGGAGCAAACAGGAUUAGAUACCCUGGUAGUCCACGCGGUAAACGAUGAAUACUAGGUGUUGGGGGACAAAGUCCUUCGGUGCCGCCGCAAACGCAUUAAGUAUUCCACCUGGGGAGUACGUUCGCAAGAAUGAAACUCAAAGGAAUUGACGGGGGCCCGCACAAGCGGUGGAGUAUGUGGUUUAAUUCGAAGCAACGCGAAGAACCUUACCAGGGCUUGACAUCCUACUAACGAAGCAGAGAUGCAUUAGGUGCCCUUCGGGGAAAGUAGAGACAGGUGGUGCAUGGUUGUCGUCAGCUCGUGUCGUGAGAUGUUGGGUUAAGUCCCGCAACGAGCGCAACCCUUAUUGUUAGUUGCUACGCAAGAGCACUCUAGCGAGACUGCCGUUGACAAAACGGAGGAAGGCGGGGACGACGUCAAAUCAUCAUGCCCCUUAUGUCCUGGGCUACACACGUACUACAAUGGUGGUAAACAGAGGGAAGCAAGACCGCGAGGUGGAGCAAAUCCCUAAAAGCCAUCCCAGUUCGGAUUGCAGGCUGAAACCCGCCUGUAUGAAGUUGGAAUCGCUAGUAAUCGCGGAUCAGCAUGCCGCGGUGAAUACGUUCCCGGGCCU